RNAcentral lists this ribosomal RNA (578 nucleotides) under Aethaloperca rogaa. RNAcentral describes it as "partial 16S ribosomal RNA". It matches the Rfam family "Bacterial large subunit ribosomal RNA", at positions 1816 to 2597 of the family's 2925-position model. The record is from RNAcentral. Lineage: Eukaryota; Metazoa; Chordata; Actinopteri; Perciformes; Serranidae.
CGCCUCUUGCCAAACCCAAGGUAUAAGAGGUCCCGCCUGCCCUGUGACUAUACGUUUAACGGCCGCGGUAUUUUGACCGUGCGAAGGUAGCGCAAUCACUUGUCUUUUAAAUGGAGACCUGUAUGAAUGGCAUAACGAGGGCUUGACUGUCUCCUCUUUCAAGUCAAUGAAAUUGAUCUCCCCGUGCAGAAGCGGGGAUAAAUACAUAAGACGAGAAGACCCUAUGGAGCUUUAGACACUAAAGCAGAUCAUUAAUUAUUUUUCUAAUCAAUAGAAUACAAGCCAAAUGAAGCCUGCCCUAAUGUCUUUGGUUGGGGCGACCGCGGAGAAACAAAAAACCCCCGCAUGGACUAAAUGUAUAACAUUUACAAUCAAGAGCUACAGCUCUAACUAACAGAAUUUCUGACCAAUAAGAUCCGGCGAACGCCGAUCAAUGGACCGAGUUACCCUAGGGAUAACAGCGCAAUCCCCUCCUAGAGCCCAUAUCGACGAGGGGGUUUACGACCUCGAUGUUGGAUCAGGGCAUCCUAAUGGUGCAGCCGCUAUUAAGGGUUCGUUUGUUCAACGAUUAAAGUCCU